This 204-nucleotide ribosomal RNA is filed under the name uncultured soil bacterium. RNAcentral describes it as "partial 16S ribosomal RNA". It matches the Rfam family "Bacterial small subunit ribosomal RNA", at positions 26 to 242 of the family's 1533-position model. The record is from RNAcentral.
AGAUUGAACGCUGGCGGCAUGCCUAACACAUGCAAGUCGAACGGGAGUAGCAAUACUCUAGUGGCGGACGGGUGAGGAAUACGUAGGAAUUUGCCCUUAAGUGGGGGAUAACCCGGGGAAACCCGGAUUAAUACCGCAUGACCUCGAAAGAGCAAAGUGGGGGAUCGCAAGACCUCACGCUUUUGGAGAAGCCUACGUCGGAUU